Molecule: ribosomal RNA, 253 nt
Filed under: uncultured bacterium
Lineage: Bacteria
Description: partial 16S ribosomal RNA
Rfam family: Bacterial small subunit ribosomal RNA
Source: RNAcentral
UACGAAGGGUGCAAGCGUUAAUCGGAAUUACUGGGCGUAAAGCGCGCGUAGGUGGUUCAGUAAGUUGGAAGUGAAAUCCCCAGGCUCAACCUGGGAACUGCUUUCAAAACUGCUGAGCUAGAGUACGGUAGAGGGUGGUGGAAUUUCCUGUGUAGCGGUGAAAUGCGUAGAUAUAGGAAGGAACACCAGUGGCGAAGGCGACCACCUGGACUGAUACUGACACUGAGGUGCGAAAGCGUGGGGAGCAAACAGG